This 1047-nucleotide long non-coding RNA is filed under the name Bemisia tabaci. Its description in RNAcentral is "lncRNA ENSSWEETPG007981". The record is from RNAcentral. Lineage: Eukaryota; Metazoa; Arthropoda; Insecta; Hemiptera; Aleyrodidae.
CAAUUUGAAUUUUGGAAUGAUAUGGUUUCUUCUUACAGAUCCUGUCAGGUAUAUGUAUAUUGUGAAACGCUAUAUUGCAUCUGAUCACCAGAUAAUUGUGCCAACGGAGGUCUUUUAUCCCUGAGUUAUAUCAACUGUUGAUACUGUGCCUCAGAAAAUAAAAAAGGAUCAAACGAAGCAGUUUGUUCAACCGAAAAACUUCAAGGUCUCCAUCUCCAGAGCCUAUUUACAGCAGUGAUGGCAAGCGGAUGAACACGCGUGAGUACCGUACAAGGAAACGUUUGGAAGAGGAGCGACACACCCUGAUUGGGAAAAUGCAGAAAAUCAAUCCUGAUUUAAACCUCCAGCUGAUUACAAACCUCCAGUUAUUAGAGUAAGCGAUAAGGUCAUGAUUCCGCAAGAGGAGCAUCCCGAUAUCAAUUUUGUAGGACUCUUGAUUGGACCUAGAGGAAACACCCUGAAAUGUAUGUUCUAUCUGAACCAGUGAUGAGAACUUAAUGAGUGAAUUAAGUUCUUCAUUUUUUUUUAUUUAAUUUUUCAAAGAUUGUCUUCUUCUAGCAACGGGAAUACAGGAGACCCUCAUUUUUUUGCCCAAGUUGAGUCCUGUGGAAACGUCUCAAAUUAGGAGGAAAUAAAUAAGUAUCUGGAAAUUUCCGAGUUUGAUGUAUUCAAAAGAUUAGAACAUUAAAUUUCUUUUCAUGAAAUAUUGGGGUUCCUCUGGGUAGAAAAUCACCUUUAUGGUGCGUUCUAGACUGUCAGCUUGAAAUUCUGUGUAAAUGACAUUAAAGAGCCUAGCGCUUGCUAGAAGUCCUAAGGCAAGCAAGAAAAUUCGAAAAUAACACAAAAGCAACAGUACGGACCUAAGUGCAUGAUAAGAUGUAUCACAUAAAAAUUGAAAACUGUUAUGAACCCUCACUUCUACCUUUGCUGUGAAUAUGAAAAUCAACUAAAUAUCGCAUUUUCUGGGCCAAUUUUGUCAGUUCAAAAGCCUUAGCAUUAUAACAACAUCACAAAACCCUUAAACGCCGUUUAUGAUCAAUACGUAUU